RNAcentral lists this ribosomal RNA (497 nucleotides) under uncultured bacterium. RNAcentral's name for it is "partial 16S ribosomal RNA". It matches the Rfam family "Bacterial small subunit ribosomal RNA", at positions 28 to 507 of the family's 1533-position model. The record is from RNAcentral.
GAUGAACGCUGGCGGCGUGCCUAAUACAUGCAAGUCGAGCGAACAGACGAGGAGCUUGCUCCUCUGACGUUAGCGGCGGACGGGUGAGUAACACGUGGAUAACCUACCUAUAAGACUGGGAUAACUUCGGGAAACCGGAGCUAAUACCGGAUAAUAUAUUGAACCGCAUGGUUCAAUAGUGAAAGACGGUUUUGCUGUCACUUAUAGAUGGAUCCGCGCCGCAUUAGCUAGUUGGUAAGGUAACGGCUUACCAAGGCGACGAUGCGUAGCCGACCUGAGAGGGUGGUCGGCCACACUGGAACUGGGACACGGUCCAGACGCCUACGGGAGGCAGCAGUAGGGAAUCUUCCGCAGUGGGCGAGAGCUUGACGGAGCAACGCCGCGUGAGUGAUGAAGGUCUUCGGAUCGUAAAACUCUGUUAUUAGGGAAGAACAAAUGUGUAAGUAACUAUGCACGUCUUGACGGUACCUAAUCAGAAAGCCACGGCUAACUACGUG